Molecule: ribosomal RNA, 482 nt
Filed under: uncultured bacterium
Lineage: Bacteria
Description: bacterial SSU rRNA
Rfam family: Bacterial small subunit ribosomal RNA
Source: RNAcentral
GAUGAACGCUAGCGGCAGGCUUAACACAUGCAAGUCGAGGGGCAGCACGUCUUCGGAUGGUGGCGACCGGCGCACGGGUGCGUAACGCGUAUACAACCUACCUUAUAGAGGGGAAUAGCCCAGAGAAAUUUAGAUUAAUGCCCCAUAGUAUUAUUGAAUAGCAUUAUUUGAUGAUUAAACAUUUAUGGCUAUAAGAUGGGUAUGCGUUCUAUUAGCUAGAUGGUAAGGUAACGGCUUACCAUGGCAACGAUAGAUAGGGGUCCUGAGAGGGAGAUCCCCCACACUGGUACUGAGACACGGACCAGACUCCUACGGGAGGCAGCAGUGAGGAAUAUUGGACAAUGCCCGCAAGGGUGAUCCAGCCAUGCCGCGUGCAGGAAGACGGCCCUAUGGGUUGUAAACUGCUUUUACACCGGAGAAAACCCCUGCUCGUGAGCGGGGCUGAUAGUAUGGUGAGAAUAAGCAUCGGCUAACUUCGUGCC